GAGGGCGACCGGCCACACUGGGACUGAGACACGGCCCAGACUCCUACGGGAGGCAGCAGUGGGGAAUAUUGCACAAUGGGGGAAACCCUGAUGCAGCGACGCAGCGUGCGGGAUGACGGCCUUCGGGUUGUAAACCGCUUUCAGCAGGGAAGAAGCGCAAGUGACGGUACCUGCAGAAGAAGUACCGGCUAACUACGUGCCAGCAGCCGCGGUAAUACGUAGGGUACGAGCGUUGUCCGGAAUUAUUGGGCGUAAAGAGCUCGUAGGUGGUUGGUCACGUCUGCUGUGGAAACGCAACGCUUAACGUUGCGCGUGCAGUGGGUACGGGCUGACUAGAGUGCAGUAGGGGAGUCUGGAAUUCCUGGUGUAGCGGUGAAAUGCGCAGAUAUCAUGAGGAACACCGGUGGCGAAGGCGGGACUCUGGGCUGUAACUGACACUGAGGAGCGAAAGCAUGGGGAGCGAACAGGAUUAGAUACCCUGGUAGUCCAUGCCGUAAACGUUGGGCACUAGGUGUGGGGGGCAUUCCACGUUCUCCGCGCCGUAGCUAACGCAUUAAGUGCCCCGCCUGGGGAGUACGGUCGCAAGGCUCAAACUCAAAGGAAUUGACGGGGGGCCCGCACAAGCGGCGGAGCAUGCGGAUUAAUUUCUAUGCAACGCGAAGAACCUUUACCAAGGCUUUGACAUACACCAGCACCGUUCCUUGGAAAGAGG
RNAcentral lists this ribosomal RNA (712 nucleotides) under Brevibacterium casei. RNAcentral's name for it is "bacterial SSU rRNA". It matches the Rfam family "Bacterial small subunit ribosomal RNA", at positions 296 to 1010 of the family's 1533-position model. The record is from RNAcentral. Lineage: Bacteria; Bacillati; Actinomycetota; Actinomycetes; Micrococcales; Brevibacteriaceae.